ACGCUCGACACCUACGGGGGCAGCAGUCGGGAAUAUUGCGCAAUGGAGGAAACUCUGACGCAGUGACGCCGCGUGCAGGAAGAAGGUUUUCGGAUUGUAAACUGCUUUAGACAGGGAAGAACAAAUGACAGUACCUGUAGAAUAAGCUCCGGCUAACUACGUGCAAGCAGCCGCGGUAAUCUGAGCGGGCUGGCAAGGC
This 199-nucleotide ribosomal RNA is filed under the name uncultured bacterium. RNAcentral describes it as "partial 16S ribosomal RNA". It matches the Rfam family "Bacterial small subunit ribosomal RNA", at positions 328 to 539 of the family's 1533-position model. The record is from RNAcentral.